GAUGAACGCUGGCGGCGUGCCUAAUACAUGCGAGUCGAGCGAACAGACGAGGAGCUUGCUCCUCUGACGUUAGCGGCGGACGGGUGAGUAACACGUGGAUAACCUACCUAUAAGACUGGGAGAACUUCGGGAAACCGGAGCUAAUACCGGAUAAUAUAUUGAACCGCAUGGUUCAAGAGUGAAAGACGGUUUUGCUGUCACUUAUAGAUGGAUCCGCGCCGCAUUAGCUAGUUGGUAAGGUAACGGCUUACCAAGGCAACGAUGCGUAGCCGACCUGAGAGGGUGAUCGGCCACACUGGAACUGAGACACGGUCCAGACUCCUACGGGAGGCAGCAGUAGGGAAUCUUCCGCAAUGGGCGAAAGCCUGACGGAGCAACGCCGCGUGAGUGAUGAAGGUCUUCGGAUCGUAAAACUCUGUUAUUAGGGAAGAACAAAUGUGUAAGUAACUAUGCACGUCUUGACGGUACCUAAUCAGAAAGCCACGGCUAACUACGUG
Molecule: ribosomal RNA, 497 nt
Filed under: uncultured bacterium
Lineage: Bacteria
Description: partial 16S ribosomal RNA
Rfam family: Bacterial small subunit ribosomal RNA
Source: RNAcentral